RNAcentral lists this unclassified non-coding RNA (305 nucleotides) under Hevea brasiliensis (rubber tree). The record is from RNAcentral. Lineage: Eukaryota; Viridiplantae; Streptophyta; Magnoliopsida; Malpighiales; Euphorbiaceae.
GUUUAUGGUAUAUAACACUGACACUUCAUACAGUGCUGCAUGAUUUUUUUUUUUAAGCUGAAUGCUCCUUAAAUGCAUGCCGCACUGCCUGCAUGACUUAUUAUGUAAUAUGUUUAAGAAUAAGCUGUCCAGGUGAUGUAGUACAUGGUGUUUGAUGUUAACCUAGGUUGGAUGCCUGCUUCAUAUGUUUUUCUUAGUUGUCUAAAUGGACAUGAUUACUGUAAUGCCAUCUUAACUCAUAUGAAGUUACUGCUUCUAUUUAUGGCUUCGUCAGAAGUUCCUCAAAGUUUCAACAUGUGGUGAAG